GGUGGCUCAGUAGUACAGCACUUGCCUUGUAUGCAUGAGGCCCUGGGUUCGAUUCCCCAGCACCA
RNAcentral lists this transfer RNA (65 nucleotides) under Dipodomys ordii (Ord's kangaroo rat). It matches the Rfam family "tRNA". From Rfam's summary of the family: Transfer RNA (tRNA) molecules are approximately 80 nucleotides in length. Their secondary structure includes four short double-helical elements and three loops (D, anti-codon, and T loops). Lineage: Eukaryota; Metazoa; Chordata; Mammalia; Rodentia; Heteromyidae. The record is from Rfam by way of RNAcentral.